GUGGGGAAUAUUGGACAAUGGGCGAAAGCCUGAUCCAGCCAUGCCGCGUGUGUGAAGAAGGUCUUCGGAUUGUAAAGCACUUUAAGUUGGGAGGAAGGGCAGUAAGUUAAUACCUUGCUGUUUUGACGUUACCGACAGAAUAAGCACCGGCUAACUUCGUGCCAGCAGCCGCGGUAAUACGAAGGGUGCAAGCGUUAAUCGGAAUUACUGGGCGUAAAGCGCGCGUAGGUGGUUUUGUAAGUUGGAGGUGAAAUCCCCGGGCUCAGCCUGGGAACUGCCUCCAAAACUACUGAGCUAGAGUACGGUAGAGGGUAGUGGAAUUUCCUGUGUAGCGGUGAAAUGCGUAGAUAUAGGAAGGAACACCAGUGGCGAAGGCGACUACCUGGACUGAUACUGACACUGAGGUGCGAAAGCGUGGGGAGCAAACAGGAUUAGAAACCCUGGUAGUCC
RNAcentral lists this ribosomal RNA (450 nucleotides) under uncultured bacterium. Its description in RNAcentral is "partial 16S ribosomal RNA". It matches the Rfam family "Bacterial small subunit ribosomal RNA", at positions 354 to 796 of the family's 1533-position model. The record is from RNAcentral.